This is a long non-coding RNA of Panicum virgatum (switchgrass), 892 nucleotides long. RefSeq lists it as uncharacterized. Lineage: Eukaryota; Viridiplantae; Streptophyta; Magnoliopsida; Poales; Poaceae. The transcript is spliced from 4 exons. The record is from RefSeq and is a predicted model, not a curated record.
GUCCCCGCAUCGACUCGACUCCUCCGCUCCCCAUCACCACCGCUGCACUCUCCUCCUCCUCCGCCGCCGCACGCCGCCUUGGUCGCGCUCUCCUCCUCCUUCCCCGUCGCCACUGUGCGUACGUGCUCUCCUCCUCCCCCUCCCCCCCCCACCGCGGUGGCGCUCUCCUUCUCCGCCGCCACCGCUGAUCGCCUCGCUGUACUCGUCUCCAUCGCCACCACAUCAGGUGAGUCGAUCCGAUCUACGCGCCGCAUCUGCUCCGUGCCCCCGCUAGUAUCUCCUCGUACCUUUUCUUUUAGAUCGCGGGGAAGAAGAGCUGCAGCCACGAAUAGACGACAAUCUGAGGCAGUUGGUCGUGGGAGUGUGAGGAUCUUAUCACUUCAGCGGCAUGUCAUCAAGAUCUACUAUGCUGGUGAUGCUGUAUCAUGUGUAUGCAGUAGGCUGGUGAGGUGGCCAGCCGGCAGUGUGCGUUUUGUUUCAUCCUGAUCCAUCGAACCAGCUCCUACUACUAACUGCUGGUGGCUUGGCUUGAAAUAUUAGUGCAUUUGAGUGCUCAGUGGAAGCAAUGAAUGGUAUAAAACUGAAGCAAUCAGUGUGCUUGGUGGGAACCAAUGCAUGAUCUCAGAGAAGUGAAGUUUUACAUAUUUGUGAUGAAUCAACAUGGCAGUUGAUUGUUAAUGGCGCUACAAGUCCUUUUGAUUCUUUGCAGUUGUGUUAUUUAUAUGCAUGCAAGUACCUGAUAUGGUUGGAUGAUACAAAUCUGUUAGAUGCAUUAUGCCUUGAUAGCCGUUUAUCUUUGUAUUUUAAUUUAUGGGUGUACGGCAAACCACAUGUUCUACAUUCUGUAACCGUGGUAGACGUUGCCAGAGAAGAUACGCAAGUUACCUAAUUU